UACGUAGGGGGCAAGCGUUGUCCGGAUUUAUUGGGCGUAAAGCGCGCGUAGGCGGCCGAGUGUGUCGUGCGUGAAAUCUCCCGGCUUAACUGGGAGGGGCCGUGCGAAACUGCUCAGCUUGAGGUCGGAAGGGGAAAGUGGAAUUCCGGGUGUAGUGGUGGAAUACGUAGAUAUCCGGAGGAACACCAGCGGCGAAGGCGGCUUUCUGGUCCGAUUCUGACGCUGAGGCGCGAAAGCGUGGGGAGCGAUCCGG
RNAcentral lists this ribosomal RNA (253 nucleotides) under uncultured bacterium. RNAcentral's name for it is "partial 16S ribosomal RNA". It matches the Rfam family "Bacterial small subunit ribosomal RNA", at positions 524 to 776 of the family's 1533-position model. The record is from RNAcentral.